Molecule: long non-coding RNA, 1768 nt
Organism: Alligator mississippiensis (American alligator)
Lineage: Eukaryota; Metazoa; Chordata; Crocodylia; Alligatoridae
Exons: 3
Source: RefSeq, a predicted model, not a curated record
GAUUAACAGGCAUCCAGAUGCUAGAUUAAUGAGUGGAUCUGAAAAGUUUGCAUCAGCAUAAGUUGCUGAUAACAGUUGCUUUUGGUUGCUAACACUCUGCAGUAGAAGAGAGAAAGGCUGUGCUCCCUGGAAGUGCAGUUUGCAGAACAAUCCCUUGGUAGUUUCUAGAUACAGAAUCACAUUUCUAGGAGAUGUUUAAAUUGUUCCUGGGUUUUUGUUUGUUUUUUUUAAGCACCAAACCAUCUAAAGGCUGAGAGAGCUUUCAUCUUGCUGCUCAUUUUGAUCCCAAAAGAGCAAUGAGCUGUUAUGUGGAUGUGAUUGUUUCAUUUAUGACCAGCUUUGUUCAAAAUAAUAGUCUCAUUAAAGCAAGACAAUGAGCCAAAAAUGAUGUAUUAAUUUUAAUAUGGAAAAGGCUGGGGGGAAAACUCCUAAAACUUGCAGGGCAAAAAUACUGUGCAUUUAGAGAGCCCUCUAGGUAGAUUUAGCUCUGAAAAGAUGUGCUGAGAACAAUUAGAAGAGGUUAUGGUGAUGAAAACUAGGAUUUCAGCAAUGUGAAUCUUGUCUCUGGUCCCUUAACCAGGUGUAAAAUCAACUCAUAAUUAGACCUGGUUAUUAGGGCCGUGUAAAGCUUCGGGCGGUGAUUUGAUUUGGAGGAGAUUUGACCUAAUUCAGUGGCUGAAUCUCCGAAUCCAAAUUGAUUCAGGGGACCAAUUUAAAGGUUCAAAUUGAUUCAAAACUCUCCAAAUCUUCGGAAAAGAUCUGGAGAGCUUUGAUGAUUUGGGCAGUCCCCUCCGGUUGCAGCUGACUCCGAGAUGGUGGGAAUUGACCAUGGAAUGAUAUGCUGAUGGCCAUUGUUAGAUGGUCCCUUUGAAGAUAAUUGUCUCCCAGAGGAUGCAUAUCUUACUGUCUUGGCUGUCUUACUGCUUGCCAGGCUCAGUUUUCGUAGGUUGAGUUUGUCUCCAAAUAUUGCCAGGAAACUGCAAUGCAUCAGAAAAGAAUCCUGCCGACAUUUACCUGGGUUCCUCAGUGCUGAUGGACUUGGCAGCUGUGCUAAACCUAGCAAAUACAUUUAAUGUAUAGCGAAGACUGGAGAAAGAGAAUAUCAUUUUAUAUGGUCAUUUUUCUGAGUAGGAGCUCGCUUGAUAUUUAGAUGUUGUUCUUUAUCAUAGUAACACCAUAGAUCUCAUGCUCCAUGCUUUAACACAGGGAGAGGUAGCCCCUGCUCAAAACAGUUUACAAUAUCCAUAGACAGAGUAGAAUGGGAAAUGGAGGCAUGAUGAAUUGCCCAAUAGUACUCUGCAGGCCAGUAGCUGAGCUGGGAAUAAAACUUAGGUUUCCUGAUUCUUGAUCCAGCGAUCUGCUAACUAGGACAUGCAGUUGCUUCUCACACUGCUCUUCGUUAAGCUGUCAUCAGCCUUAGCAGAGAUGGGAAGCCCACUAGCAAUGCAUUACAUCAGCACAGCUUUAACAUCAUAGGCCACAGAGGCAUAGCGAGGCGUCCACCUUGUCCCUGUCUCUCUUGGCAGAUUUCCACAAUGAAGGCUCCAAGGAUGUUGAUUAAAUUAUUAUGAGAUUUUAUUCGGAGAUGCUUGAUAUAUUAUUCAAAGUCAGAUGUGCCUGGGGUUUAUAUAUCAGAAUAUCUGAUUCGCUUUUUCAAAGGAUAUGGCACUAUAUCAGGCUGCUAGAGCCAGGAGCCAAAGAACAACCCUGUCCAAUUGUAUAAUCACUUUGAAAGCUUAAAUAUUAAAUGAACACAUUUUUGGAUGGC